GGGGGGGGGGGGGGGGGGGGGGGGGGGGGGGGGGGGGGGGGGGGGGGGGGGGCGGGGGGGGGGGUGGGGCGGCGGGCGGGGGGGUGAUGCCUGGGAGUCUGCCUGGUAGUGGGGGAGAGCGUCCGGGAGCGGGCGCUAAUACCGCAUGCGUCCUGAGGGGGAAAGUGGGGGAUCUUCGGACCUCACGCUAUCAGAUGAGCCUAGGUCGGAUUAGCUAGUUGGGGGGGUAAAGGCCUACCAAGGCGACGAUCCGUAACUGGUCUGAAAGGAUGAUCAGUCACACUGGAACUGAGACACGGUCCAGACUCCUACGGGAGGCAGCAGUGGGGAAUAUUGGACAAUGGGCGAAAGCCUGAUCCAGCCAUGCCGCGUGUGUGAAGAAGGUCUUCGGAUUGUAAAGCACUUUAAGUUGGGAGGAAGGGCAGUAAGUUAAUACCUUGCUGUUUUGACGUUACCAACAGAAUAAGCACCGACUAACUUCGUG
Molecule: ribosomal RNA, 484 nt
Filed under: uncultured bacterium
Lineage: Bacteria
Description: partial 16S ribosomal RNA
Rfam family: Bacterial small subunit ribosomal RNA (bases 52-484)
Source: RNAcentral